AUGCUCCUACGGGAGGCAGCAGUGGGGAAUAUUGCACAGUGGGGGAAACCCUGAUGCAGCAACGCCGCGUGAGUGAAGAAGGUUUUCGGAUUGUAAAACUCUGUUAGCAGGGAAGAGGAAGGACGGUACCUGCAGAGGAAGCCACGGCUAACUACGUGCCAGCAGCCGCGGUAAUACGUAGGUGGCAAGCGUUGUUCGGAAUAACUGGGCGUAAAGUAUGCGUAGGCGGGUA
This 232-nucleotide ribosomal RNA is filed under the name uncultured bacterium. RNAcentral's name for it is "partial 16S ribosomal RNA". It matches the Rfam family "Bacterial small subunit ribosomal RNA", at positions 333 to 581 of the family's 1533-position model. The record is from RNAcentral.